This 3657-nucleotide long non-coding RNA is filed under the name Triticum aestivum (bread wheat). RNAcentral describes it as "long non-coding RNA (TAES_LNC024371)". Lineage: Eukaryota; Viridiplantae; Streptophyta; Magnoliopsida; Poales; Poaceae. The record is from RNAcentral.
AUGAAUCAAUGAAGAUGGAGUUUUGUUUUGUGUAUUUCAGCUUUGUGUAGCGAUGAGGAUCCAUUGGGGAUAGGAUGGCUCGGCUUAAAGGUGGAAGGCUCCCUUUGUCAGAUGUUUUAAGGUAUGGUGGAAGGCUCCACAUUUUUGUACAUAUUUGAUGUUCUGAAUACUGAAUGUUGGUCGUAUUAUCAUAAGGAUGCAUUUUUCUGCAGAGGCAAAUAUACUCAUUUUUAGAUGAGGAGUCACCUAAGCAUGCAGUUUGCAACUUUGUACCAGUUAUGUGUUCAACGUGUUGUUUGAUUAACUGGCAUGUAUCCUUUCUCACCUUAGUGCAGACACAUUAUCCUGUUGACUUUUGAGAAUGCUUAUGAUGCUCUGUUUAGAAGAUGUUUUCUUGAGUAGUACUACAUAUUUUUAUGGUUUCCUGUAACUUGCAGAUAUGGCGCCGAUUUGCCGCUUGGUGUGCUGGAACUACACUCCACGGGAAUAUUUGUUCAGAAUCUCCAGUCUUGUAAUUUUCUCCUUGAUGACAAUGACCAGGAAGCAUGGUUUCGUUUUAUCCCAUAUAUCAGUACAUAAGUAUGUUUUGUUGGAAUAUUAGGUAAGUUCAUGAUUAAUUCCAGUAAAUAAUUCAUGAUUAGAAGAGAUACUAGCAUGCAAUAAUCUAGCAAACUAGAAGAACAGCAAGACAUGCAUAACAGCAGCAAACACGUAACAAUAGCUGCAGAAACAGACAUGAACAGAGGAUGUUAGACGUACUGAUCGUUAGCUAUUAUGGGUGCGACAGUGUUGAUGACGAUGUUGGCGACGAUCUGCUGCUGACGGCGAUGAAUACGACGAUGAGUAGCACCGCCCGACUUGGACGGAAGACGACCCGUGAUGACGAAUUUGAGCAGUCGCGCACAGCGCUUCCCAAAAACCUAAUUCGUCUUCUCCCGGUGCAGGAUCGGAAAGACGAACGGUUCCGGAGACCUGCUCUCCCACGCGCCGAUGCACGCCGGCGUUUGGGAUGGAGUAGACUACGAUAGCGGCGCAAGUUGUGAGAUGAGGCAAAAACCCUAGGUGUUUUUCGGUGUGUCUCUGGCCGCAGCCGGUAGCUGUAUAUAUAUUAGGACCAGAGGCGGUAUUGUGUCGCGACCACAAUCCCAAACCGACUCGGUUUCUAAUUCGUAUACUUACCGGACAAGAAAUCAAAAACUUGUCUGCCAAGACAUAAAAGUAAAACGGCAAAAGGAAGCUGCGCUCCUGCAAGGAGACGGACCGGAUUUCGGCGGGACCAUUCACGCGCAUGUACGCCUCGCAUCGCCACGCCACGGCCAGGCGAGGCGAGCGAGCGAGCGCGUGUGGUUUUCCCUUUCUCUUCUCACACACCACUUAGAGUGGUGGAGAGAACCCACUAUAUAAAGAGGUCCAACUCUUCUUUAACUUCCAAGGUGGGACUAAACUUAGCACCACCACUUGCCAUUUUACACAUGGGCUUUGAGAUUUCAGAAAUUGCUAUGGGCCUAGCCCAUUAAUUCUAACAUGUUUAGCUUAUAUAUAGUUGGUGAUUUGUCCAUGGAAAUUGGUGUUUUUUAUCUACUGCAUCUGUUUUGAUCUUUUUAAAGCACAUCCCUUAAAUUGGUGAAUUUUUCUGUUAAUGUAGAACCAAUUUUAGUAAAUGAUUUUCUUCGUUACGAGUUAGCGGCAGUCUUUGAUAUAUCCAGAAAGAUGCUAUGCAUGUUUCUCUAUGUCUUAUAUCCUAACCUUCAUUCUUCGAUGACCAGUACAGCUGAACUUGUUAAGAACCUUUACAAUGAUCACAUUUGUGAUUUAACUUCCCUUUUUUUAGCCUUUAGACAAGCUGAAACUGAGCAUCAAAGUUUGGAAUAAUUUUACUGACAGCAACCAAGAGAUGCCCAGGUCCCAGGACCUGAUCAGGUGCAGGUUGUGUUGGCAAAAAGGACACCAUCUUUGGCCUUUUCAUCCUCUUGUUUUUUAUAUUUCCAUGGAGAAGUCGAGUGUUAGAGUUAACAGAAGUCAAGAACAAGCUCACCAUCCAUGAUUUUUGAGGGUAAAUAUUUUGUAAGUAGUGACAUCCUGGUUCUGCAUUCAAUCUACAAUCAUCAGUACAUUAAGUUCAGUUAUGCGAGAUUUGAAUCAAGCCUUGCAUGAUUUGCUCUUUUACUGAUGGACUGAGGAGGUCAGAGAUGUAUAACAGCCGUAUUGAUCCAAAUGACAAGUACGGCAGUGCUAACCUGCUUACCUAGAAUUUUACCACAUCCUAAGACUUGCAAAUCUGUACAAUAGGAAUGGCUAGCUGUUUACCGUGACAUGUAGUGGCAUCUCUCACCAUGUGUGCACAUAGUGUUUAGGCAUGAUUAUUGCAUACUGUCGACAAGGGCGCGGCGUUUUUCCUUAACUGAUUCUUUUUUUUUUGGCUUACUGGUUGAGCUCGGUUUCAACUCUUACCUGAGUAGUUGAUCGGCAAGCUUGAUGCAGGUGUAUGGAAAUUAUGCAGUUCCAUUAGCUCUGGAGUUGUCCAGUAUACUACCGAGGCCUACAUAUUUUGCUGAUGCAAGUUGGAGGUGAACAUGAACUCUGGCAAUCCAAAAUAGCACAUCCAAAAUAACUGCAGCUCAGGCCAUGUAGUUCUACAACAACCAAGGAAGAAGUCCCUUUUUUUAAGCUAACCUCGGCCAAGGAAUUCAAGCUUAUAUGGGUGCUCUCUGUUUUUCAGAGGUGCGUGUACUGAGGGCGCCCACGAUUCAAGCCAAAAAAUCUAGACAAAGUGAUAGCCCGUUGAAGGAUGCUGAUUGUGGCUAUACAACUUCAACAACGUGCUUGCUACUCAUGAGUGGCAAAGUAUAACAUGCCCCACCUUUUUUUAAAGAAGCCCCUUCAAAUUAUGUAUGCAGUAUGCUGGGAAGAACUCAUGACAAAGCCUGGUUUGUAUGCUUGUCUUAAUGUAUUUUCAUACUGGCUCGAGUAAUGUACUCUUGCCCCCUGCAUGACACCGCCUUUGCAGUGUAUUCUUGGUUGCGUGUUGCUCAAUUAGGUUAUUCUAUUUUAUUUUUCCUUUUUAUUCACUGUUGUUGGCAUGAAUUUGCCCGUGCAUUUGGUCCUAUCACUGACAACAAUUUAAACAUGUUAAUCCAGGAAGGAUAUGCACAUCAUCAGUGCACCUUUAUUUAUUGAGUAUAAAUGAGUAGUUAAUUUGCUAAUUAAAUUUGUUUUCUUGCGGGUAUAUUCAUCUCAUUAGAAACGUCUUUUGUGUGGCUUGGUCUUCCUAAAUAUUGUGUGGGUUUUUUCCUUUCCUGGUUUAGCUUGUCAAAACAAUGAUUAUUUGAGCGCGUGAUCUACUCAUGCCUAUUUACCUUAUUGUAUAGUUUGCCAUUCUAGAACACUAGAUCUUUCUCCACAGCUGAGAUGUUGAUAUGACAAGUUUAAUUCGUGUUUAAUCUCCGCAUAACUAAUUUUGCUUCCCAUAUAUGUCAUACAAAAAUGUUAAAUUCCCUUCAUUUUUGUUCACAGAUGUCGCACCACAGGUGAUGAGAGACUCGGGAUGGGGACAAAAUGGUCUUGACCACCGGCGGACUCUUCCAUCGUCUCACCAUCACUCCCACGGGCAGCGUUUUAGUUGAGUCCAACAAUUCAGUUCUGAAGAUAACAUGUAGG